AGGGAAUCUUCCGCAAUGGGCGAAAGCCUGACGGAGCAACGCCGCGUGAGUGAAGAAGGUCUUCGGAUCGUAAAACUCUGUUAUUAGGGAAGAACAAAUGUGUAAGUAACUAUGCACGUCUUGACGGUACCUAAUCAGAAAGCCACGGCUAACUACGUGCCAGCAGCCGCGGUAAUACGUAGGUGGCAAGCGUUAUCCGGAAUUAUUGGGCGUAAAGCGCGCGUAGGCGGUUUUUUAAGUCUGAUGUGAGAGCCCACGGCUCAACCGUGGAGGGUCAUUGGAAACUGGAAAACUUGAGUGCAGAAGAGGGAAGUGGAAUUCCAUGUGUAGCGGUGAAAUGCGCAGAGAUAUGGAGGAACACCAGUGGCGAAGGCGACUUUCUGGUCUGUAACUGACGCUGAUGUGCGAAAGCGUGGGGAUCAAACAGGAUUAGAUACCCUGGUAGUCCACGCCGUAAACGAUGAGUGCUAAGUGUUAGGGGGUUUCCGCCCCUUAGUGCUGCAGCUAACGCAUUAAGCACUCCGCCUGGGGAGUACGACCGCAAGGUUG
RNAcentral lists this ribosomal RNA (549 nucleotides) under uncultured bacterium. Its description in RNAcentral is "bacterial SSU rRNA". It matches the Rfam family "Bacterial small subunit ribosomal RNA", at positions 356 to 896 of the family's 1533-position model. The record is from RNAcentral.